Molecule: ribosomal RNA, 497 nt
Filed under: uncultured bacterium
Lineage: Bacteria
Description: partial 16S ribosomal RNA
Rfam family: Bacterial small subunit ribosomal RNA
Source: RNAcentral
GAUGAACGCUGGCGGCGUGCCUAAUACAUGCAAGUCGAGCGAACAGACGAGGAGCUUGCUCCUCUGACGUUAGCGGCGGACGGGUGAGUAACACGUGGAUAACCUACCUAUAAGACUGGGAUAACUUCGGGAAACCGGAGCUAAUACCGGAUAAUAUAUUGAACCGCAUGGUUCAAUAGUGAAAGACGGUUUUGCUGUCACUUAUAGAUGGAUCCGCGCCGCAUUAGCUAGUUGGUAAGGUAACGGCUUACCAAGGCAACGAUGCGUAGCCGACCUGAGAGGGUGAUCGGACACACUGGAACUGAGACACGGUCCAGACUCCUACGGGAGGCAGCAGUAGGGAAUCUUCCGCAAUGGGCGAAAGCUUGACGGAGCAACGCCGCGUGAGUGAUGAAGGUCUUCGGAUCGUAAAACUCUGUUAUUAGGGAAGAACAAAUGUGUAAGUAACUAUGCACGUCUUGACGGUACCUAAUCAGAAAGCCACGGCCAACUACGUG